CUACGUGCCAGCAGCCGCGGUAAUACGUAGGUCCCGAGCGUUGUCCGGAUUUAUUGGGCGUAAAGCGAGCGCAGGCGGUUAGAUAAGUCUGAAGUUAAAGGCUGUGGCUUAACCAUAGUACGCUUUGGAAACUGUUUAACUUGAGUGCAAGAGGGGAGAGUGGAAUUCCAUGUGUAGCGGUGAAAUGCGUAGAUAUAUGGAGGAACACCGGUGGCGAAAGCGGCUCUCUGGCUUGCAACUGACGCUGAGGCUCGAAAGCGUGGGGAGCAAACAGGAUUAGAUACCCUGGUAGUCCACGCUGUAAACGAUGUCGAUUUGGAGGUUGUGCCCUUGAGGCGUGGCUUCCGGAGCUAACGCGUUAAAUCGACCGCCUGGGGAGUACGGCCGCAAGGUUAAAACUCAAAUGAAUUGACGGGGGCCCGCACAAGCGGUGGAGCAUGUGGUUUAAUUCGAUGCAACGCGAAGAACCUUACCUGGUCU
This 480-nucleotide ribosomal RNA is filed under the name uncultured bacterium. Its description in RNAcentral is "bacterial SSU rRNA". It matches the Rfam family "Bacterial small subunit ribosomal RNA", at positions 501 to 981 of the family's 1533-position model. The record is from RNAcentral.